This 319-nucleotide small nuclear RNA is filed under the name Prolemur simus (greater bamboo lemur). RNAcentral's name for it is "7SK RNA (ENSPSMG00000014488.1)". The stretch from base 1 to 279 matches the Rfam family "7SK RNA". Rfam says of the family: 7SK was discovered as an abundant small nuclear RNA in the mid-70s but a possible function has only recently been suggested. Two independent studies have found that 7SK RNA binds the CDK9/cyclin T complex (known as elongation factor P-TEFb). Lineage: Eukaryota; Metazoa; Chordata; Mammalia; Primates; Lemuridae. The record is from RNAcentral.
GGAUGUGAGGUCAAUCUGGCUGCAACAUCUGUCACCUCACUGAUUUCCAUGGUUGAUACAGCUGAUCCACCUGGCUAGGUGAUGUCCCCUUCCUCCCUCACUACUCCAUGGGCAUCCCUCCCGAAGCUGUGUGCUUGGUCGGAGAGGACAACCUUCCCCAAUAGAGGACAAUUCUCCCAUCAAGGAUACACGAGUAGCUGAUGCUCCUCUGCCAGAACCUCCAAACUCUCAAGGAAGUGUUGUGUAGGCUGUUGUGUAUAUGAAUCUAGAGUUCAGGGAGAGGGUCUGGUUGGGAAAUACAAAUUUAUAUCAUUGAGGA